This 200-nucleotide long non-coding RNA is filed under the name Vigna radiata. RNAcentral's name for it is "long non-coding RNA (VRAD_LNC000842)". The record is from RNAcentral. Lineage: Eukaryota; Viridiplantae; Streptophyta; Magnoliopsida; Fabales; Fabaceae.
AUGGGGUUAUUAGGGUGUAGCUUUGGUGGCUGGAAAAGAGAGAAAUAGGUCAGAUUCAUUGGUCAGAUCUAAAAGGGUCCCAUCCCAAGAUCAAAACCCUGACCCACUCAUACAUUCUUUAUUAGUCAUGCCUUUAAUUAAUAAAUAAAUAAAUAAAUGUUAAAUAUGGUAUCAUGGGACCAAAACGUGGACGCGUGCCC